Molecule: ribosomal RNA, 232 nt
Filed under: uncultured bacterium
Lineage: Bacteria
Description: partial 16S ribosomal RNA
Rfam family: Bacterial small subunit ribosomal RNA
Source: RNAcentral
GAUCCUGGCUCAGGAUGAACGCUAGCUACAGGCUUAACACAUGCAAGUCGAGGGGCGAGCAUGGUCCUAGCUUGCUAAGGCCGAUGGCGACCGGCGCACGGGUGAGUAACGCGUAUCCAACCUGCCUUACACUCUUGGACAGCCUUCUGAAGGAGAUUAAUACAAGAUGUUAUCAUGAGUAAGCAUUUUCGCAUGAUUAAAGGUUUACCGGUGUAAGAUGGGGAUGCGUUCC